Molecule: long non-coding RNA, 785 nt
Organism: Chenopodium quinoa (quinoa)
Lineage: Eukaryota; Viridiplantae; Streptophyta; Magnoliopsida; Caryophyllales; Amaranthaceae
Exons: 3
Source: RefSeq, a predicted model, not a curated record
AUUUGAACUAAUCAAGUUCGAACUCGAAGUAACUCGACGACCUGCUCUUAAAUUAUUUAAAGCCGUUCAUUGUGUUGUAUUUUAAAUAUAAAAAAUAGAUAAUACACAUAUUAUAAACUUUUAUUUUGUAGAACAUAGAUUUCAAUUUUAAUUGAUAGAGCUCCCAAUGUAACUCAAUCUUGACAAAAAAGAAAAAAAAAAAAAAAAACUAUGUAUUAGUCCAUCUUUCUCUCUCCCGACUCUGCAAAGAUCUCCUCCGGCUAAGAAUAUCGGCAGGUACCUUUGUGUCAUUUGAGUAAGCUAAUCCUGUAAAAAAAAUACUAUUCUAGUUGAAAUCUGGAAAGGGAAAUUUUCGACUAGAAUAUUUCAAGCAAUUAGCUAGGUUUGAAAGAAACCAUUGUUUGAUGGCGUUGAGACGUGCUCUUGGGUGGUCUGAUGGUGAGCUCAUGCGAUCAGAUGCGAAGCCUUGCUCAAGAUUAAUGAGAUAAACAGCUGGAAUUUUUACAGUUGGUGGAGCAUUGGGUUUUUGGGUCUUGUGUAGAAUGCACUAUGGAUCAAGAGUAACAAUUCCCAGAAGUCUAAGAUAGGCGGCUUGUGGAGCUGUUUCUGUUAGCUCAACAACGGCUCUUCUGGUCCGCCUUUUCAGUCCUGAAUGCGAACCCCAGAACAUAGUUUCUUAUGACAAUAAAAGCUGAGUUCCUUUUUAAAAUCAAUGUAAGAUGUAUGUUAUCCCUUGUAUGGGACAAUCAUGCAACAAACUUCUGAUGCAUAGUCACUCAAUGUGA